Non-coding RNA from Peromyscus maniculatus bairdii (prairie deer mouse), 954 nucleotides. The record is from RefSeq and is a predicted model, not a curated record. Lineage: Eukaryota; Metazoa; Chordata; Mammalia; Rodentia; Cricetidae.
GGACACUUGUGAGUUGCCCUAUGCAGACUGUGCUCCCACUGGAGGCCCGCGGGCUCCGAGGGUGGCCACCUUUGCUGAACAUGCUGUUAGCCCCCUCCUGCGUUUGGGUCAGCGAUCUUGUGAAGCUCUGCUUGGGCUGCCUCUGAGGGGCAGGAGAGCCAGAUGGCAGGAGGAUCCUCCCCCUAGACCAAUCAACAUGUCCUCAGCAUUCUGCCCCCUUCAGCCACAGCUUGUUCCCAGUGCCCUUCCUCCGUGAAUCAUGAGCAAUCCCAAGACAGGCAGGAUGGGAGCUGAAGACCACCAAGAGCUAACCCUUCUGGCAGAGAGAUGCUCUUCCGCUCUCAGACGGCAGUGCCCAGGAUGCACAGGCAGAACCCUGGUGCAGUCUUUGAGGAAGACGUCCUUCAGAGAACUGGCGUGUUGGAAUUGUUGGCACGUUCAGAAUCCUUGUGUCGCAAACAUAUGGACAUAAAUGUCACUGCUCUAGAGGCGGUGGGAUCUGGGAGAAUGGAGCCUAACAAUGAGGCAGACUAAAGUCUUAUGCAACAGACAACUUCAUUUAGAGCAUCAGACAGUUUGUAUUCUGAUGGUUAAACAAGAUCACAUGAGUGAUGUUCACAUGAGUUCCAACUGUAUACAAUUACAAGAACAAGACUUGCUUGGUUGAAUUUUCUGGUUGACAGAGAUAAGUGACAAUGGGCAAUCUGAAGCAAACCUCACUCCUAUUCGCUACGCCUGGGAAGGACAUGAAAGCACACUCCAAGGAUAACCCGUGUUGUGAAGUAACUGAAGUCACAAGACUCUCAUCUUGUUUUCUUGGGGUUUUCUCACAAGCUCUCAGAGUUCUCACACGGCUUCGUUCAUGGACCAUGUUCCUACACAUGAAGACAACUUCAUGGCCUCCUGGUUCCAUCUUUCUUGGGUUUGAAAUAAAGUGACUCUGUUGGUACUGAC